Molecule: ribosomal RNA, 2905 nt
Filed under: Escherichia coli O157:H7
Lineage: Bacteria; Pseudomonadati; Pseudomonadota; Gammaproteobacteria; Enterobacterales; Enterobacteriaceae
Description: 23S ribosomal RNA
Rfam family: Bacterial large subunit ribosomal RNA
Source: RNAcentral
GGUUAAGCGACUAAGCGUACACGGUGGAUGCCCUGGCAGUCAGAGGCGAUGAAGGACGUGCUAAUCUGCGAUAAGCGUCGGUAAGGUGAUAUGAACCGUUAUAACCGGCGAUUUCCGAAUGGGGAAACCCAGUGUGAUUCGUCACACUAUCAUUAACUGAAUCCAUAGGUUAAUGAGGCGAACCGGGGGAACUGAAACAUCUAAGUACCCCGAGGAAAAGAAAUCAACCGAGAUUCCCCCAGUAGCGGCGAGCGAACGGGGAGGAGCCCAGAGCCUGAAUCAGUGUGUGUGUUAGUGGAAGCGUCUGGAAAGGCGCGCGAUACAGGGUGACAGCCCCGUACACAAAAAUGCACAUACUGUGAGCUCGAUGAGUAGGGCGGGACACGUGGUAUCCUGUCUGAAUAUGGGGGGACCAUCCUCCAAGGCUAAAUACUCCUGACUGACCGAUAGUGAACCAGUACCGUGAGGGAAAGGCGAAAAGAACCCCGGCGAGGGGAGUGAAAAAGAACCUGAAACCGUGUACGUACAAGCAGUGGGAGCACAGAGCAAUCUGUGUGACUGCGUACCUUUUGUAUAAUGGGUCAGCGACUUAUAUUCUGUAGCAAGGUUAACCGAAUAGGGGAGCCGAAGGGAAACCGAGUCUUAACCGGGCGUUAAGUUGCAGGGUAUAGACCCGAAACCCGGUGAUCUAGCCAUGGGCAGGUUGAAGGUUGGGUAACACUAACUGGAGGACCGAACCGACUAAUGUUGAAAAAUUAGCGGAUGACUUGUGGCUGGGGGUGAAAGGCCAAUCAAACCGGGAGAUAGCUGGUUCUCCCCGAAAGCUAUUUAGGUAGCGCCUCGUGAAUUCAUCUCCGGGGGUAGAGCACUGUUUCGGCAAGGGGGUCAUCCCGACUUACCAACCCGAUGCAAACUGCGAAUACCGGAGAAUGUUAUCACGGGAGACACACGGCGGGUGCUAACGUCCGUCGUGAAGAGGGAAACAACCCAGACCGCCAGCUAAGGUCCCAAAGUCAUGGUUAAGUGGGAAACGAUGUGGGAAGGCCCAGACAGCCAGGAUGUUGGCUUAGAAGCAGCCAUCAUUUAAAGAAAGCGUAAUAGCUCACUGGUCGAGUCGGCCUGCGCGGAAGAUGUAACGGGGCUAAACCAUGCACCGAAGCUGCGGCAGCGACACUGUGUGUUGUUGGGUAGGGGAGCGUUCUGUAAGCCUGUGAAGGUGUACUGUAAGGUAUGCUGGAGGUAUCAGAAGUGCGAAUGCUGACAUAAGUAACGAUAAAGCGGGUGAAAAGCCCGCUCGCCGGAAGACCAAGGGUUCCUGUCCAACGUUAAUCGGGGCAGGGUGAGUCGACCCCUAAGGCGAGGCCGAAAGGCGUAGUCGAUGGGAAACAGGUUAAUAUUCCUGUACUUGGUGUUACUGCGAAGGGGGGACGGAGAAGGCUAUGUUGGCCGGGCGACGGUUGUCCCGGUUUAAGCGUGUAGGCUGGUUUUCCAGGCAAAUCCGGAAAAUCAAGGCUGAGGCGUGAUGACGAGGCACUACGGUGCUGAAGCAACAAAUGCCCUGCUUCCAGGAAAAGCCUCUAAGCAUCAGGUAACAUCAAAUCGUACCCCAAACCGACACAGGUGGUCAGGUAGAGAAUACCAAGGCGCUUGAGAGAACUCGGGUGAAGGAACUAGGCAAAAUGGUGCCGUAACUUCGGGAGAAGGCACGCUGAUAUGUAGGUGAAGUCCCUCGCGGAUGGAGCUGAAAUCAGUCGAAGAUACCAGCUGGCUGCAACUGUUUAUUAAAAACACAGCACUGUGCAAACACGAAAGUGGACGUAUACGGUGUGACGCCUGCCCGGUGCCGGAAGGUUAAUUGAUGGGGUCAGCGCAAGCGAAGCUCUUGAUCGAAGCCCCGGUAAACGGCGGCCGUAACUAUAACGGUCCUAAGGUAGCGAAAUUCCUUGUCGGGUAAGUUCCGACCUGCACGAAUGGCGUAAUGAUGGCCAGGCUGUCUCCACCCGAGACUCAGUGAAAUUGAACUCGCUGUGAAGAUGCAGUGUACCCGCGGCAAGACGGAAAGACCCCGUGAACCUUUACUAUAGCUUGACACUGAACAUUGAGCCUUGAUGUGUAGGAUAGGUGGGAGGCUUUGAAGUGUGGACGCCAGUCUGCAUGGAGCCGACCUUGAAAUACCACCCUUUAAUGUUUGAUGUUCUAACGUGGACCCGUGAUCCGGGUUGCGGACAGUGUCUGGUGGGUAGUUUGACUGGGGCGGUCUCCUCCUAAAGAGUAACGGAGGAGCACGAAGGUUGGCUAAUCCUGGUCGGACAUCAGGAGGUUAGUGCAAUGGCAUAAGCCAGCUUGACUGCGAGCGUGACGGCGCGAGCAGGUGCGAAAGCAGGUCAUAGUGAUCCGGUGGUUCUGAAUGGAAGGGCCAUCGCUCAACGGAUAAAAGGUACUCCGGGGAUAACAGGCUGAUACCGCCCAAGAGUUCAUAUCGACGGCGGUGUUUGGCACCUCGAUGUCGGCUCAUCACAUCCUGGGGCUGAAGUAGGUCCCAAGGGUAUGGCUGUUCGCCAUUUAAAGUGGUACGCGAGCUGGGUUUAGAACGUCGUGAGACAGUUCGGUCCCUAUCUGCCGUGGGCGCUGGAGAACUGAGGGGGGCUGCUCCUAGUACGAGAGGACCGGAGUGGACGCAUCACUGGUGUUCGGGUUGUCAUGCCAAUGGCACUGCCCGGUAGCUAAAUGCGGAAGAGAUAAGUGCUGAAAGCAUCUAAGCACGAAACUUGCCCCGAGAUGAGUUCUCCCUGACCCUUUAAGGGUCCUGAAGGAACGUUGAAGACGACGACGUUGAUAGGCCGGGUGUGUAAGCGCAGCGAUGCGUUGAGCUAACCGGUACUAAUGAACCGUGAGGCUUAACCUU